GGGAAAUACCUUAGAAUAGAUCUGUGGCCAGUGGUCAAUCAUGAGACUUACCUUGUGUUUCAGAAGGAUGUUGUGCAGUGAGAGACCUGGAGGAUUUCAGCGUUCGCACUCUGUACGAUAAGUUGGAAGAUCAGAAUUUGCACCUGGCAUCUCAGCUGGCAAAGCACAGGAGGGAUGUGUUGGUGUUUUACAAUGGAAUCAGCCAGCAGAUUCAAGGUCUCAUGGUCAGUGUGAAGAAAGAACUGUGGGAAAGGGGGUCUUGAAACAGAAGCUUGCAAGUGGCAGUUUAGUGAAUGAUAGGUCUUGCUCCCUGCUGUACCCUGUUUUGGUGUAAAAUAGUUUACGCUGAUGUCUGGUUUGGUGUGAGAGGCAGAAAGUGAAAUGGAUGGAUUUUAAGAUUUUAAAGAAUAAUGCUGCUUUAUUAUAAAUAGGACAUGGUGCGAGCACUGGAUACUAAAGGCCUAAAAAUCCUUGGCAGGCAAAGGAUUUGUGAGCAUAAAUCUGGAAACAGCAGCCAGGCAGCAGUGGGCAUGGAACAGUGUGAGGAACACUGCAGCAGCAGCUUCCAUGCAGCUGGGCAGGCAGGUGCACUACAGCAAGAGGCAGUGGAGUUGAUGAAAGCUCUAGAAAUCCUGCUUGGGAGAGCUCAGCCUAAGAACAUGAAACGAGAGAUGGAGCAGCAGAUCCAUGGACAGGAUAUGGUGGCAGUUUUACCCUCACUGCACAGUGAAAGUAAAGCAAAAGUAGUGGAAGGGCAGGAUUAUAAGCUGCCUGAACAAGAAGAGCUCUUCAGUAGGAAAGGUGAUGUCUUCAGCUUCCCUGUGCAUGAAGAACGUGGUAAGUGUGCCAUGGUACUCCUCAAAGAUGAUGGUAGAAGACUGUCUCCUUGA
Molecule: long non-coding RNA, 890 nt
Filed under: Phasianus colchicus (ring-necked pheasant)
Lineage: Eukaryota; Metazoa; Chordata; Aves; Galliformes; Phasianidae
Description: lncRNA (ENSPCLG00000009830.1)
Source: RNAcentral